This 800-nucleotide ribosomal RNA is filed under the name Pseudomonas sp. Its description in RNAcentral is "bacterial SSU rRNA". It matches the Rfam family "Bacterial small subunit ribosomal RNA", at positions 87 to 882 of the family's 1533-position model. The record is from RNAcentral. Lineage: Bacteria; Pseudomonadati; Pseudomonadota; Gammaproteobacteria; Pseudomonadales; Pseudomonadaceae.
UUGAUUCAGCGGCGGACGGGUGAGUAAUGCCUAGGAAUCUGCCUGGUAGUGGGGGACAACGUUUCGAAAGGAACGCUAAUACCGCAUACGUCCUACGGGAGAAAGCAGGGGACCUUCGGGCCUUGCGCUAUCAGAUGAGCCUAGGUCGGAUUAGCUAGUAGGUGAGGUAAUGGCUCACCUAGGCGACGAUCCGUAACUGGUCUGAGAGGAUGAUCAGUCACACUGGAACUGAGACACGGUCCAGACUCCUACGGGAGGCAGCAGUGGGGAAUAUUGGACAAUGGGCGAAAGCCUGAUCCAGCCAUGCCGCGUGUGUGAAGAAGGUCUUCGGAUUGUAAAGCACUUUAAGUUGGGAGGAAGGGCAGUAAGCUAAUACCUUGCUGUUUUGACGUUACCGACAGAAUAAGCACCGGCUAACUCUGUGCCAGCAGCCGCGGUAAUACAGAGGGUGCAAGCGUUAAUCGGAAUUACUGGGCGUAAAGCGCGCGUAGGUGGUUCGUUAAGUUGGAUGUGAAAGCCCCGGGCUCAACCUGGGAACUGCAUCCAAAACUGGCGAGCUAGAGUAUGGUAGAGGGUGCGUGGAAUUUCCUGUGUAGCGGUGAAAUGCGUAGAUAUAGGAAGGAACACCAGUGGCGAAGGCAACCACCUGGACUGAUACUGACACUGAGGUGCGAAAGCGUGGGGAGCACACAGGAUUAGAUACCCUGGGAGUCCACGCCGUAAACGAUGUCCACUAGCCCUUGGAAUCCUUGAGAUUUUAGUGGCGCAUCUCACGCACUAAGUUGACUGCCUGGGGAGUA